CCGCCGUCUGCCCGUCUGUAUGGCUGAUUCCUUAGAUCUGAGGUGGAGGACAAAGAACAAAGACAUCAAUAAUCUACCUGUGAAAAGACUGGUCAUGUUUUUAGGGGAAAAAGCUCCAUGAAGAAAUGGUUUUCCCAGUUUGUUGUGGGAGAGCCUGACUCUAACCAAACAUCUGGGCUGGACCUAAUGCUGUUGUGGCUGAAUGCAGCCAGGUUCAACAUCUGGUGGAGAGGAUUCACAAACUAAAGCCUGUCAUCAACAAUCACUUACAGUUCCUGGUUAGAAAACACAAGAGUCGUCAGCAGCAGAAGGACAGAGAGUCACAGAACAGCGAGGGAUUUUUAAAACGUCACCUCGUCGAUGAAGACGGAGUCGCAGAAGAGACGAGAGGAGCGUUUGGCAGAG
Molecule: long non-coding RNA, 405 nt
Organism: Seriola aureovittata
Lineage: Eukaryota; Metazoa; Chordata; Actinopteri; Carangiformes; Carangidae
Exons: 3
Source: RefSeq, a predicted model, not a curated record